RNAcentral lists this RNase P RNA (346 nucleotides) under Parcubacteria group bacterium CG11_big_fil_rev_8_21_14_0_20_39_22. RNAcentral's name for it is "RNase P RNA component class A". It matches the Rfam family "Bacterial RNase P class A". Rfam says of the family: Ribonuclease P (RNase P) is a ubiquitous endoribonuclease, found in archaea, bacteria and eukarya as well as chloroplasts and mitochondria. Its best characterised activity is the generation of mature 5'-ends of tRNAs by cleaving the 5'-leader elements of precursor-tRNAs. The record is from RNAcentral.
GUCUUAUGUUGGACAAUUGCGGUUCGCCUCGGCGAACUGAGGAAAGUCCGAACACUCCCCGAUAUUUUUAUUGGGAGCAGAGUAGCGGGUAAUACCCGUCGUGUGCAAACACAGGGAUGCGAGCAGUGACGCCCGAGUCGAGAGACGAGGGGUCCCUUUGGGGAUAUUCUUUUGGAAACAAAAGAGUGAAACGGCAAAAUUCCUACUUGGGUGCAAGGCCGUACUGUCAGUGCUUCGCAUUGACAGGGUGCCGCUUGACCUUACAAGCAAUUGCAAGGCUAGAUAAAUAAUUGUCGCCCGCUUUUAAAGGCGAGUACAGAAUUCGGCUUAUAGACAUAAGACGUAA